CCUACGGGGGGCAGCAGUGGGGGAUAUUGCACAAUGGGGGGAACCCUGAUGCAGCGACGCCGCGUGGGUGAAGGAGUGCUUCGGCAUGUAAAGCCCUAUCGGCAGGGAAGAAGCAAGACGGUACCUGACUACGAAGCACCGGCUAACUACGUGCCAGCAGCCGCGGUAAUACGGAGGGGGCGAGCGUUAUCCGGAUUCACUGGGUGUAAGGGGAGCGUAGACGGCCAGGCAAGCCAAGGGUGAAAGCCCGGGGCCCAACGCCGGGACUGCCCUUGGAACUGUGCGGCUAGAGUGCGGGAGGGGAAGGCGGAAUUCCAGGUGUAGCGGUGAAAUGCGUAGAUAUCAGGAGGAACACCAGCGGCGAAGGCGGCCAGCUGGACCGCGACUGACGUUGAGGCUCGAAAGCGUGGGGAGCGAACAGGAUUAGAUACCCCAGUAGUC
This 441-nucleotide ribosomal RNA is filed under the name uncultured bacterium. Its description in RNAcentral is "partial 16S ribosomal RNA". It matches the Rfam family "Bacterial small subunit ribosomal RNA", at positions 338 to 795 of the family's 1533-position model. The record is from RNAcentral.